This 2310-nucleotide ribosomal RNA is filed under the name Clostridioides difficile. Its description in RNAcentral is "bacterial LSU rRNA". It matches the Rfam family "Bacterial large subunit ribosomal RNA", at positions 292 to 2623 of the family's 2925-position model. The record is from RNAcentral. Lineage: Bacteria; Bacillati; Bacillota; Clostridia; Peptostreptococcales; Peptostreptococcaceae.
UUGGGGUUGCGGACAUAUCAUAACGAAGAGGUAUCGUAAUUGAAGAGGUUUGGAAAGACCCACCACAGAAGGUAAUAGUCCUGUAUGUUAAACGAGAAGACUUUAGAUAUGAUCCAGAGUACCACGGGACACGUGAAACCCUGUGGGAAGCAGGAGGGACCACCCUCCAAGGCUAAAUACUACCUAGUGACCGAUAGCGUAUAGUACCGUGAGGGAAAGGUGAAAAGAACCCCGGGAGGGGAGUGAAAUAGAACCUGAAACCCUGCACUUACAAGCUGUGGAAGCACAUUUCUUGUGUGACCGCGUACUUUUUGUAGAACGGGCCAACGAGUUACGUUAAGUAGCAAGGUUAAGCACUUAAGGUGCGGAGCCGUAGCGAAAGCGAGUUUUAACUGAGCGUUCAGUUACUUGACGUAGACCCGAAACCGGGCGACCUACCCAUGAGCAGGAUGAAGCGAAAGUAAAAUUUCGUGGAGGUCCGAACCCACGAGCGUUGAAAAGCUCGGGGAUGACUUGUGGGUAGCGGUGAAAUUCCAAUCGAGCCCGGAGAUAGCUGGUUCUCCCCGAAAUAGCUUUAGGGCUAGCCUCAAGGUGAGAGAUACGGAGGUAGAGCACUGAAUGUCCUAGGGGGUAUUGCACCUACCGAAGACUAUCAAACUCCGAAUGCCGUCAUCUUAUACUUGGGAGUCAGACUGUGGGUGAUAAGAUUCAUAGUCGAAAGGGCAACAGCCCAGAUCGUCAGCUAAGGUCCCUAAAUGUAAGUUAAGUGGUAAAGGAUGUGGGAUUGCACAGACAACCAGGAUGUUGGCUUAGAAGCAGCCACUCAUUCAAAGAGUGCGUAAUAGCUCACUGGUCGAGUGAUCCUGCGCCGAAGAUUUCCGGGGCUAAAACUUACUACCGAAGCUACGGCAUCAGUAAUGAUGGGUAGGGGAGCUUCCCAUACGGGUUGAAGCAUGACCGUAAGGACAUGUGGACAGUAUGGGAGUGAGAAUGUUGGCAUGAGUAGCGAGAUGUGGGUGAGAAUCCCACAGGCCGUAAACCCAAGGUUUCCAGGGGAAGGUUCGUCCGCCCUGGGUUAGUCGGGACCUAAGCUGAGGCCGAAAGGCGUAGGUGAUGGACAACAGGUUGAUAUUCCUGUACUACCGAUAACCGUUUGAGAGAAGGGAUGACACAGUAGGAUAAGCUAAGCACACUGUUGGUUAUGUGUGCCCAAGCAUUGAGGCAGUCAAAGUAGGCAAAUCCGCUUUGAUAAUGCUGGGAUGUGAUGGGGAGCGAAAUUUAGUAGCGAAGUAGCUGAUUUCACACUGUCAAGAAAAGUCUCUAUCGAGGUUAAAGGUACCCGUACCGCAAACCGACACAGGUGGGUGAGGAGAGUAUCCUAAGGCCAGCGAGAGAACUGUUGUUAAGGAACUCGGCAAAAUGACCCCGUAACUUAGGGAUAAGGGGUGCCACCAUCAGGUGGCCGCAGAGAAUAGGCCCAAGCGACUGUUUACCAAAAACAUAGGUUUCUGCUAAGUCGCAAGACGAUGUAUAGGAGCUGACGCCUGCCCGGUGCUGGAAGGUUAAGGGGAUCUGUUAGAGCAAUCGAAGCAGUGAACUUAAGCCCCAGUAAACGGCGGCCGUAACUAUAACGGUCCUAAGGUAGCGAAAUUCCUUGUCGGGUAAGUUCCGACCCGCACGAAAGGCGUAACGAUUUGGGCACUGUCUCAACAACAGACUCGGUGAAAUUGUAAUUCCGGUGAAGAUGCCGGAUACCUGCGACAGGACGGAAAGACCCCAUGGAGCUUUACUGUAGCUUGACAUUGGGUCUUGGUACUACAUGUACAGGAUAGGUGGGAGGCUUUGAAACCAGGACGCCAGUUUUGGCGGAGCCAUCCUUGGGAUACCACCCUUGUAGUACUGGGACUCUAACCAUAGGCCAUGAAUCUGGUCUUGGGACACUGUCAGGUGGGCAGUUUGACUGGGGCGGUCGCCUCCCAAAAGGUAACGGAGGCGCUCAAAGGUUCUCUCAGUACGGUCGGAAAUCGUACGUAGAGUGUAAAGGCAAAAGAGAGCUUGAUUGCAAGACAUACAGGUCGAGCAAGGAUGAAAAUCGGACUUAGUGAUCCGGUGGUUCUGCGUGGAAGGGCCAUCGCUCAACGGAUAAAAGCUACCCUGGGGAUAACAGGCUUAUCUCCCCCAAGAGUCCACAUCGACGGGGAGGUUUGGCACCUCGAUGUCGGCUCAUCACAUCCUGGGGCUGUAGUAGGUCCCAAGGGUUGGGCUGUUCGCCCAUUAAAGUGGUACGCGAGCUGGGUUCAGAACGUCGUG